RNAcentral lists this non-coding RNA (22 nucleotides) under Arabidopsis thaliana (thale cress). Lineage: Eukaryota; Viridiplantae; Streptophyta; Magnoliopsida; Brassicales; Brassicaceae. The record is from RNAcentral.
UAAAUCGCCGAGGGUGUCGAUC